Molecule: long non-coding RNA, 9811 nt
Organism: Sapajus apella (tufted capuchin)
Lineage: Eukaryota; Metazoa; Chordata; Mammalia; Primates; Cebidae
Exons: 2
Source: RefSeq, a predicted model, not a curated record
GUAACAUAGUGAGACCCCAUCACUACAAGAAAUAAAAAAAAUUGCAUGGUGGUAUACAACUGUAGUCCUAACUACUUGGGAAGCUGAGGUGGGACAUUUGCUUGAGGGGAGGAAGUAGGAGCUACAAUAAGCUGUGAUCAUACCACUGCACUCCAGCCUGGGCAACAGAAUGAGACCCUGUCCCAAAAAAUAAAUAAAUUCAAGAGAUCACUGGGGAGUCUUAAAUUUUUUGAACAGUGAAGUAACAUCAUAACAUCAUUAUGCUUUUUUCAGGUAUUUAGUAUUGGUUCUUUAGAAAUAUGAAUCUUCCAAUGAUAAGAAAUUGAGAGGUUCAUGAGUCCUGCAAUGAUUAGAAAUUGAGAGGUUCUUCCAUUAGAAAUUGAGAGAUUAGUUAGGAGUAUUAUAGUUCAAGUAAGACAACAAAAACUCGAAUUAGGGCAGUGAAGGAAGAAUGGAGGUAGAAUUCUCCUUCAUUAAUGGCCAACUGGAAAUGGGGAUUGAGGGAAAACAAAUAAUAGAAAUGAAGGUGUGCUUUGAUUUUGGACUUGAGUGACUAGGAUAAUGGCCACUCUAAUGAAGAAAAAUAGAAAUGUUAUGUGUGGGUUUAGUAAGGGAAUGCAAUGAACUUGGUUUUGGAUAUGUUAAACUUGAGCUAUCAUUGGAACAUUCAGGUAUAAAUAUUUAGAAAGCACUUUGAAAUAGGAGUUUAAUAGAAAAGUUGAGAGUAGCACUACAGAUACAGAUUUGAAAGUCAUCUGCAGAGAGAUGUGUCUUAGUCAUUUUCACACUGCUGGUAAAGACAUACCCAAGACUGGGUAAUUUAUGUAAAGAAAAAGAGACUUAAUGGAUUCACAAUUCCAUGUGACUGGAGAGGCCUCACAAUCAUGGUAGAAGGCAAAAGGCACAUCUUACAUUGUGUCUUUACCAUGGUAUAGGGAAUUACAGAGAACCAGUUCAGCCUGUCUAUAUGAAAGCCAAGUGAAAGGGAUUUCCCCUUAUAAACCACCAGAUUUUGUGGGACUUUUUCACUGCCAUGUGAACAGUAUGGGGGAACCACUCUCAUGAUUCAGUUGUCUCCCACCAGGUCCCUUCCACACCAUGUGGGAAUUGGGAGCUACAAUUCAAGAUGAGAUUUGGGUGGGGACACAGCCAAACCAUCUCAAGAUGAUAGCAAAAGUUUUACAUUAUGCUUUUAUUCAGUUAAUAGUUUAAUGUACAUUUAUUGAAAGGUCCAGUGUGCCAAUCAUUGUGUUAGGUGCUAGAGACAGGCAGAAGUGUAUGAGAGAUCCUUAAGGGGUGCUGCAGAGAGGUUGAAUUUUAAGGAAGGUGUGUUGGUGACAAGAUAAAGAGCCUGUGAUGAAUGCCAGAAGGACUAGUCAGAGGACUAGAGGUUAAAGUUAUGAAAGAAGAAGGGAGUCAGUACUAGGUGGAAGAUGGGCAGGGUUGGUAUAGGGUGGAAGCCUGUUAAGACCAAGGUGCAGAAGAGUCAUUGAAGGUGAGAGUAUUGUCUUGAAAGUGAAUGAACUCUGGGAAGGAGGUUAUUUAAGCAAAUUGAUUCAACUUAAAGUGAAUAGCAGAACCAGAUUCCAGGUUUUUAUAUUUGAGUUCAUUUCUCAUUGUAGUAUACCAGUAUGCCAAAUUGUGUCUUUACCAUGGUAUAAGGAACUACAGAGAACCAGUUCAGCUUGUCCAUAUUACUUAAAAUGUUUAAUUAAGAUUCUUGAAGUUGUUGAAUAAAGAGAAAAUUAAUGAGCCUCAUAACUAUCCUUAUAUUUCAUGUGACCAAUGGCAGCUUUGGCAGGCUUAAGCAUGGAGGGACAUUAGAUGGAAGCUGUUUUUCUGGACGUGUGCUGCUUUAACAAGCACCACCAGAGAACAAAAACAAAUCCUAGUGUUGCACAGGGAGCACUUUCUGGAUGGCAGGAAGAAUCUAGGUCAGCUUAACGGCAACUCCUAUUCUUUAGGUAGAUUAAUGUUUGCCCCCUGGUUUUCAGCAUGCUGCUGUACGACAUCUAGAAAGACUGUGCAUGGUUCCUUAGCACAUAUUAAUAGGGGGUCACAAAUGAAAUUGAUGUGUGGGAGCCUUUUGAUUUACAGUUGAAUAGAGAGAGUAUAGCUCAGACCUAAUAUGGCAACAUGGUGAGUUGUAGUCUGCAUUUCCUUAACUCCUUGAUGUAAAGGAUACAUCCUUGUGGACAUUUUGCAUAUUACCUUUAGGAGAUGACUGGUCUCCUAUAGGUAGGAUGACCAGAAAGUGCUCAGUUGAGCAGUAGAGCUCUGGAACCUGGGCUGGCUAGUCUGGCAUCCUUUUUCCGACUAUGCUGCCAGUGCUGUCUAAUAGAACUUUUGUGAUGAUGGAAAUAUUCCAUAUCUGUGCUGUUCAGUAUAGUAAUCACUAGUCACAUGUGACUGUAUAGUACUUGAAAUGUGGCUAGUGUGACUAAGGAGCUGAAUUUUUAGUAUUGUUUAAUUAAAUUAAUUUAUAGAUAGCCAUGUGUGGUUAUCGGCUACCAUAUAGGACAGCAUAGCUCUAGACUAAAAAACAUUUAAAAAUCCAAAUUCUCAUGCUCAUUGGUAUUUUUAACUAGUGAGAGGAGGUUGGAAGAGGGUUGAGUUAUAUUGAUAUUCACUCCAAAUUUAGUAGGUUUAUAUUGAACAUUGGACUGAGCUAUUGUGGAUUUGUGAAUUUUUCUCGACUCUUCUCUUGCUUUUCAUGUCUAAAAGCCUCUGGAAUAUCUUAAUUGUCCUUUUCUCAUUUGAAGAAUUAUCCCUUUUGGCCUUAGAUGGGUGUAGCUCAUCUAGUGCAUAGAUUAAUAGCUCUGUCUUUGUCCUUAGGAAGGUAAAUCUUGAAGGCUGCUGUCACAUGACUGUACUGCCGUAUGCCAGUUCAUUGUUAUUUUAUUUUAUUUUAUUUUUUUGUGAUGCUGAAAGUGAGUGAAAUGUGAAAAAAACAUUAUUCAUUUUAAAUAGUUUUGACUGCCAGGUUAAUGCGACUCUUAAGCGGAGCUUCAUGAGGUCUGGCCAUAGUAACUGCUUUUAACUUGAUUUAAAGUUCUUAAACAUUCUGAAUUGCUUCACCUAAUCUUUUUAUACUGAACGUACAAUUUUCAGGCUCUUUUUUAUUUUCAAAUCCAUAACUGACAGCUGCUCAACACCUCAUUCAAAUAGUUUUAAGAGUUUUAGAGAAAAGUUGGGACAGACUGGAUUACUGACAUCAGUUGGAUUGAGAUAUUGUGGAUUUAAAGAUGAUUGAGAAGGAGAGGGAAAAUAUGAAAUUAUUAUUACAUGUUCACUGUUUGCCCAAUGACAGUGAUUUGAAGCCUAAUAACUAACAAAACUGAAAGGUAGCAGAAGGACAUUUGAAUUAACUUUCAAAUUUUAAUAUAAGGAAUGAGCAUUUUCUUUGAAAAAAAAUUUUCAUGUGUAGUCCUAUUUGUUAUAUUUUAAAAAAUACUAAUGUACAGAAAUUCAUAUAUGCCCAAACCUUACUACAACCUUUUUCUUGACAUGUAUGUCCCAGAUUCUAUGAGAUUGUCAGCUCCUUAAAGGAGCUAACUCUUUAGGGGACUCCAUGAUGUCUAGUGCACAGCAAAUAUUUUCCAAACAGAAUUAACCAUUUUAGAAGAGAAACACUGUUAUAAGAUCUUCCACCUCUACUUCCAAUGACAAAUGAAAUCAUCCUGUGACUCAACUCAAGAAGGCUCUGGGGUACAGUGAAUAUAGAGAAGCUUCAGGAAAUAUUGUUUGAGAGUUAAAAUUAGUGUGACUAAAUUUUGUCUUCAUCCUUUUGAGAAAACGCAUGCAGGUCUGUGUGCAUGUUUGAGUGAGUGUAUGUCACCUACUAUGUGCUAGACACUGUGGUAAGCACUAGGUUUAUAAAGAUGAAUUAUAUAGGCUGUCUUCCCUCAAGGAACUUAGAUUUUUUUGCAGGAAACAGUAAAAAUAACAAUGCUAUGUGCCAAGAACCAUGAUAGACAUAGUUUGGGAGUGCUGUGGAAGCAAAGAAGAGGAAUGUCUAACUCACUAUGGAGACUUAGAGUCAGGAAAGACUUCUGGGGGUCUCUUGAGUUGAGUCUUGAAAGAUAAGUAGGAGAUAGCCAGAUAGACAAUAUUAGAGGAAUUUUUCCAGGUAGAGAGAUAAGGUGCAGAAAGACAAAAGCAUGGGAGAUUCUGGGAACUGCAAAUAGUUUGCUAUGGCUGAGGGGAAGAGCAAACUAUUUGCGGUUCCCAGAAGGAGCACCAAAAUGUGAAGCUGGAGAGGGUACACACAGUUGUCAAAUCGUAUAGGACCAACUUGGUAAUAAUGAGAAGUCUGGGCUUUAUUCCAUAGAGAGUGUCCAUGAGGGGAGCAGAGAGGGUGCGGAACGGAUCCAGAGGAUUAGAGACCGAUGGUAGGAGAGCAGUUAGGGAGCAGCUGUGGAAGGCCAGCUGAAAUUUUGAGGGCCAGAACCCAGGUACUUGCUAUGCAGCUUGGGAGGAAGCUGGCUUCAGGAUAUGUUUAGGAAAGUAGAAUUUCAUAACUGAUCGAGGGAGUGGGAAGAAGGGGAGUCGGGGUUAAUGGUUAGGUUCUGGCUUGGCUGCCUAAGUGGUUGAUGGGUGCAGUAACUAAGAUAGGAAGUUUAGAAGGUAGACAGUGUUGUGUUUAAUGAGGAUGGGCUUGACCCUGCAGACCCUUCACAUUCAGGUGAAGAUACCCAGUAGCACCCUGUGGUAUUCAUUUGGAGACGUGGCCAUGGAUGAGAUAUCCUAAGAAGAAUGUAUAUGGAAGAGGAAGAAAAACUAAUGACAGAACGUCAGGAACAUCAACAAUUAAAGGUAGGCAGGAGAAGAUGAACUAGUGAGAGGAGUGAAGAAGGGGCUAUCAGAGACUAGGGAAAGCCAGGAAAGUCUUUUGUUUUGGCAUCUAAGAAAGUGAGUGAGCCACAGUGUCAAAUGCUACAGGGAGGUCAGAUAAGAUAAGGGAGGCCAUCAUGGCUAUAGCACUUAGGUAUUCACAGGGGAACUCUGCCUUAUAAUUUCAGUGCAGCAGUGAAUGUAGAAACCAGAUGGCAGUGUGUUGAGCAAAUGGAAGUGCAGAAUAGGAAGCAUGACUGUAGACACGUAUUUUAAGGGCUUGACUGGGGAAAGUAAGAUGAGGGAGAGGCGUCUGGAAAUAAGGAGAUGUAGGACUUAGAGAAAUUUUACAAUAUGUAUUUUUUUGAAUUAUGGAGGUGUGAGAAGAUUUAUAUAUGUCAUAAAAUAAGAGAUAUUGCAGAGGGAGAUGAAAAAUAGAGAAGUGAGAAUUGAUCACUGACCAUCAAGGGCCACGUCGGGGCUCAGGAGGAGGCAUUUGCUGAGAGGAGUCGGGGGAGGAGACCAUUUUUUUCUUCCUAGGUGGAGAUAUCGGCAAGGCUUAAGAAAGAGGGUUGGUGUAGACAAGAUUGCACCCCACGGGGCUGAAGACAGGAGGAAAGGAGAACCUCCUUGGGAAAGUAGGAUCCCACGCUCUACCUGCUGAUGGGGAGAUGGAGCUGGGCAGGGUGGGAAACUGGGAAGAUUUGAAAUAUUCUCUGUCCACGGGAACUCAGAAAUUCUAGGGAGCACCUAGCUGAGGCUGGAAACAUCACGUUGUAGUGACCCCAGGGUGAUGAUUGUCCUCGCCUGAGCAGCAGACUGAAUGUCCCUCUUCCCAGAGACUCUGGUUCUGAGAUGUACUUGAUAUCUUCCUUCCCUUUCAGAGGGAAGGCAGGCCUCUAAUAUUGUCUAUUAUGGAAAUUUAGAGCUGAAGGGGACUUGAGAGAUCACCUAGAACUCCCUCAUCUUGUAAAUGAGGAGACCAGCUCAGAAAAGAGAAGUGACUUAUUCAAGUGGAUCCAAAGCCAGGGCUGAUCCCAGGCCUGACUUGUAGCUGAGGGUUUUCUUUUUUGUUCCCUUGCUACCUCCUUGAUAAGGAUUAUUAGUAAAUCCCAUUCAUUGUAAAAUGCUCUUAAUUUCCUAUUUUGUACACUGAAAAUUCUACACCAUUUUCUUUCUCUUCCAGUUUUUUGUUUUGUUUUGUUUUUCUUCCUUGCCGAGUUCAAGCAGAUGUAACAGUAUUCUAGGAUGCUAAAAAUAGACUUAACAUGUCUUUUCUUAAGACGAGGUGAUAUUGGAUUAGAUGAGAAUAUUAUUGGUGGGACCUGUAAAAAGGUGAAACUUAAAUACUGAAAUGUCUGGAAUUUCUGUUCUUACAGACUUUACAAUUUUAAAGAUAAGUGGAUUUAUUUACACAUUUUAAAAUUCUUUCAUUCCAUAUUUCAAGAGAAUCUACUAGGUGCCAGGAGUUAUGAUGAUGCUGCAGGAAAGAAUUCCCAUAUCUGUCCUGUUGUCUGUUGAGAAUUGAUGAUUAUAUUAAUAUUCUCUCCAUCUAGAGUAUCAAGGUUAAUAUUGGUAACUUGUGAAUGCUUCUUUGGGGUCUACAAUCCGCGUCCUUAUCCUAGACAAGAACUAAGAAGCAGAUAAUAGAAUGUCUGUUGGAUAAACACAGAUUUGGUAGGAUUGAUUUAGUUUGGAACAGGGGAACCUUAAUUAAUUAUCACUGUUUAUAAUACGUUUUUCUCCUUUGUUUCCAAGAAUGAGAAUAGUUCAGCAACACAAUUAAUAAAUAAAACAUAAAAGGUCAGUUAUGGUUGCCCUGGUAACUAUAUUUCUCAGCAAGUAUUUUGUUUGCCAUGAAAUGUGUCCAGGGUGAUUUACUGGAAAUCAGACUCUGAAUGUCAUGACUUUUUGUAUUUGAAUUUCUUAUGUACUCAUUUAGGAGUGACAAUUUUGUAGGUUUUUUGGGUUGGGUUCUGAAGUUCUAUGUGUGAUGGGGAUCCUUGUGUGUUUUUCUUUUUUUGGAAGACAAACAGGAAACUGUGAUUACAGUGAAUCUAUUUAAAUUUAAGAUGAAUUUCCAAGUCUAAAGUGAGAUUUAAAAGAGUAUUUGAAUCAUUUUUGGGACACAUGAAAUUUCUUAAAACUGGAAUAUUUUAAUGUAGAAUUUGAACAUAAGAUACUUUCUGAUUAGCGAUCAGGAAUGUGUUAAUUUAUCCUUUUGACUUAAUUCCUAUGCAAUUAGUUUUGAGUAGAAUAAAUUAUUCUUAAAAAAGUAUUAAAGAUAAAAAUCAAAAUAAUUAAGCAAUUAGAGCAGUUGCCACUUUCUAGAUGAUUUAUGGUAGUGUGAAUUAAAGUUAAGUGAAUAAUUUUUAUACGUUUAUUCUUUGACCACCAAACAAAAUCACUUCAAUCUACAGAAAGUUUUACAAAUGCACGAAUAUAUACGUAGAAAGAUGUAACUGCUGCAUUGAUUUUAAUAGCAAAAAAUAUUGGAAGCAAUCCAAAUGUCCAUCAGUAAGAGACUGGUUAAAUAAAUUAUGAUCUGCCCAUACAAUGGAAUACUUGGUAGCCAUUAAAAAGAUUGAUGUAGACCUGUAUCUGCUGAAAAGAGAAGACUUCCAGCGUGUAUCAGUAGGUGAAAAAAAGCAUACUGCAGAAUAUUGUGUAAGUAUUUUAUAUGUAAUUAAUCUAUAAUGCAUACUAUCUAAUUGGCAUAUUAAAAUUUGAAGAAUCAACAGAAAGCUCUUAACAGUGGUUAUCUCUGGAGAGUGAGAUUAUGAAGGACUUUUACUUUCUAAGUUAAAUUUGCAUAUUGUUUGAAAUUUCUGUAAUGAAUUUGGGUUACCUUGGUAAAUAGAGAAAAAGAGAAGAAACAAAGCUGUGUUUAAAGGGUCUAAAAAGAUCAGUUGAAAUGGGUGUGGUGUGUAAAUACAUUAGGCUUUACGGUAAUCUUUUAUUCACUUUUUGUUUUUGUCUAGAUACGUAGACAUUUAAAAAGGUAUUUGUAUUUAUGUCUUUUGAAACAUUAUACUGACAGAUUUUUAACUCUUUUCUAGAUAUUGACCACCUGUUUUUUCUCACAUUUCAGUUAUUUUCUCAAUGUAUCCUUUAAAUUGUCGCUUUGCAAGAUAGCUGGUUUUAUUUACAUCUUAGUGGCUAUUGAAUAUGCUUUGAUGGACUUUGCUUUUUGUUUAAAGCAUUAUUGCUGGCCCGAUUACUGAAUUGGUUUUAUUUUAAAAUUAUAUGAUCUCCAUAUACAAUACCAGGGGAUUUAGGAAUUUUAUAUACAAUUUACAGUUUGAGAGUGAAUGAUUAUUGUGAUACAUGAAAUUUCUUAAACCUAGAAUAUUUUAAUGUAAAAUCUGAACAAAGGAUACUUUCUGAUUAAUGAUCAGGAAUGCAUUAACUUGUUACCUUUUUGACUUAAUUCCUAUGCAAUUAAUUUUGAAUAGAAUGGAACCUCUUAUCCAAAACCUUUAAAAGCAUGUUUCUACCCUUUUCCCAAGGACAAGAAUAGAGUGGAAUCUGUAUUCUGCAGGAUUUCAUCUGGAUGCAGUUUUCUAGAUUCUGCUUCCAUUGUACUGAAUAUAAAGUUUUCUUUUGUUUGUGUGUGUUUGGUCCCAGUCUCUGCCUGGACCCCAGCUGUAACAACAAUCUGGAGAAGACACUUCUCUAGUGCAGCCAGUUUGUCUUUCUGCAGAGGAGUCAUCAAUGCAAAUAGGAUUAGGAAGAAAAUGCAUGUGGUCCAGCCGUUGAUUGCCAUUUUCAAUGUAUAAGCUUAGUUUGUUAGCACACAGAGUGGAGCAGAAAUCACUAUUCCAGACCCUUGCUGUGAAGUUUACUGUUUCAAUACGGUGAUGAUAAUCUGUUAGGAAAAAGCUACAAAGCAAGGUAGACCUUAGGUUACGGUGUUGACAUUGUGGAUAUAUUUUAUGGAUCUGUUAACUUAAUGCAAGUUUAGAAAACAACCUUACAUUUUUAAUUUUCUUCCCAUCUGGUUUGGUUAUAUGAAGCUGGAUAGGCAAUUCCUUUUCUUGGAAAUAACCUUUGGAUUCUUGUCCUUGGGAAGAGAAUGGAAAUAUGCUUUUAAAGAGGUUUUGGAUAAAAGGUUAUUAUACAUUGGAUAAAAUUUAAGACACCGUUUAAUUUUUUUUUUUUUUUUACCAUGACCUGUGCAACUGUAAGCACAAUAACUUAUAUGAUGUAUUUAUCCUUCACUUCAUUCUGCAUACCUUGAUUUUUUUCUUCAUUGUGCUUUCAUAUUUCAUUUCCCUUUCCUAUCAAUCCAAACCUAUGCACUAUACCUGUCCACCUUAAUCUGUGCACCAUCCUAUCCUGUCUACCCUGUGUGACCCUGCCUAUCCUGCCUGACUCUGUUCUGUACUAUUCAUUUCUAGCCUAUUUCAUUUUUUUUUUUUUUUUUUAAGAAAUGUUGUGUAGGACCCAUUACAUUUAUUUUAAGAUCUACCAUUUGAAAAUCAUUGGCACGAAGGGCUUGGAUGUUAUUAUUUCUUGAGUGUCAUCUGUCUCUUUCAGUGGACAUCAGCAUGCUGUUAACUUUCAGUUGCUAUGUGUGCCCCAUACCUUGUUUGCUGGCAUAGUAGGAUAACAAAGUUAAGUACCUCAUUAUGAGAUACAUACGGUUGUUGAUUUCUAAGCCAUGGUUCUUCCAGGAGAGUUUUUAACUAGGAAGUCUUUAUCACCCUGAUUCUCUUAUCAUUGUGUAAAUGUUGAGUAGUCUGCUUGUAUAUCGGGUGAUGCUAAUAGGGCCUGCAUUUUCUCAGUGUAGAUUAUGCCCUACAGAAUGUUAAAUUCCAGGAUCACUUUCUCCUACCACCCAGCAUGCUCCUGGCCCCCUACUGUUGCCAUCUCCUGAAGCAUGCAGAGCAAAUGCAAACCCAUUUUAACACUGCACUAAGUAACACAGGGCAGCCUCUAAGGUAAGAUAAACUUGCCUUAGAGGAAAAACAAACAA